UCCUGCCGGAGGCUAUUGCUAUCGGGAUCCGAUUCAGUCAUGCUAGUCGCACGGGCUCAGACCCGUGGCGAAUAGCUCCGUAACACGUGGUCAAACUACCCUCUGGACUGGGAUACCCUCGGGAAACUGAGGCUAAUCCCGGAUACAGCUUUCAUGUUGGAAUACGGAAAGCCGGAAACGGUCCGCCGCCGGAGGACGUGACUGCGGCCGAUUAGGUAGACGGUGGGGUAACGGCCCACCGUGCCGAUAAUCGGUACGGGUGGUGAGAGCAAGAACCCGGAGACGG
This 286-nucleotide ribosomal RNA is filed under the name Halococcus salifodinae. RNAcentral's name for it is "partial 16S ribosomal RNA". It matches the Rfam family "Archaeal small subunit ribosomal RNA", at positions 12 to 299 of the family's 1478-position model. Lineage: Archaea; Methanobacteriati; Methanobacteriota; Halobacteria; Halobacteriales; Halococcaceae. The record is from RNAcentral.